UUCUAAUUUGCUUGUUUGUUUAACUGCUCAUUUUGAAUUCCUUGCUUUUUUCCUAGCUAGAGAAUGAUUUUUUGAAGAGAGAUAAAAGUGGUGGUUAUUUGAAAAGAGUUGUGUGUGAGAGUUAUUUCUAGAACUGUUAAGAAUCAUGGCUAGUUUCAUUUAGCUGGAAAACAUGUGUAUGAUCUGAACAAAUUCUGGAUUUGUUGCUGGAAGGGUAGGCUGGUGUAAAGGCAUCCCUAUGCUUUUCUGAGACAUGUAUCUGUAUAUUUGAUUCUAUAUAGUACUUGAUACUUGUUGAUAAAGUUAAGAAGAGUAAUGUGUAUGUUGUGCUUGCCUGUUAGGAAGCCUGAAAGAUACUCGAGCGUUUAUGUGAUAUACUCACCCGUUGGCUUAAAAAGAAACCUUUGGAGAACCCAUUGAUGUGGAGAUUAUAGGAAGCCUGAGAGAUGCUCAAGCUUUUUCUCGUAAUCAUGCUCACAAAGACACUGGUAAUUGAGAGUUGAUACAUGAAUUUUAGCAUUCUUUGUAUAGAAAUUAUGUUAUCAGUACUAUUGCAGCUGGACUUGAUGGAAUUCGUUUAGCUAUUUCUACUGCCACUCGUUUAGCUAUAUUGAUAUUGAUUCCUCUCCCACAUCGGUGACUGUCUCUGGCCAGAUUAUUUUAUGAGGUGGUGAAAAAGAUCGUUAUGGGGAAAAAGAUUGGAGCAUGUAUUUAGUAGAAAGUCUAAAUUAAGGGUUAACAGUGUGUGCUACUUCACUUUCUGUAACUAGAACUUUGGAAAGUUAAAUUAGUUAUGACCUAAUUAUAUGAGCUAUUUCUGAAUGGAAAAUGUGCUAGGUAUGACUU
Molecule: long non-coding RNA, 846 nt
Organism: Lotus japonicus
Lineage: Eukaryota; Viridiplantae; Streptophyta; Magnoliopsida; Fabales; Fabaceae
Exons: 3
Source: RefSeq, a predicted model, not a curated record